This 281-nucleotide unclassified non-coding RNA is filed under the name uncultured fungus. RNAcentral describes it as "partial contains small subunit ribosomal RNA, internal transcribed spacer 1, and 5.8S ribosomal RNA". The stretch from base 1 to 73 matches the Rfam family "Eukaryotic small subunit ribosomal RNA", at positions 1759 to 1831 of the family's 1831-position model. The record is from RNAcentral. Lineage: Eukaryota; Fungi.
GCAAACUUGGUCAUUUAGAGGAAGUAAAAGUCGUAACAAGGUCUCCGUUGGUGAACCAGCGGAGGGAUCAUUACAGGACUCGCAAGACUCCUUCCAACCCCUGCGAACCUACUCUUCAUACGUUGCUUCGGCGGGCUGCUCCGGGUUUCCCCCGGGGCGCCCACGCCCGCCGGCAGCCUACCCAAAUUCUGUUUCUCUGCGUUGGCAUCUCGAGGAAGCAAAAAUAAGUCAAAACUUUCAACAACGGAUCUCUUGGUUCUGGCAUCGAUGAAGAACGCAGC